This 468-nucleotide ribosomal RNA is filed under the name uncultured bacterium. Its description in RNAcentral is "partial 16S ribosomal RNA". It matches the Rfam family "Bacterial small subunit ribosomal RNA", at positions 28 to 507 of the family's 1533-position model. The record is from RNAcentral.
GACGAACGCUGGCGGCGUGCUUAACACAUGCAAGUCGAACGGAAAGGCCUUGCUUUUGUGGGGUGCUCGAGUGGCGAACGGGUGAGUAACACGUGAGUAACCUGCCCUUGACUUUGGGAUAACUUCAGGAAACUGGGGCUAAUACCGGAUAGGAGCUCCUGCUGCAUGGUGGGGGUUGGAAAGUUUCGGCGGUUGGGGAUGGACUCGCGGCUUAUCAGCUUGUUGGUGGGGUAGUGGCUUACCAAGGCUUUGACGGGUAGCUGGCCUGAGAGGGUGACCGGCCACAAUGGGACUGAGAUACGGCCCAGACUCCUACGGGAGGCAGCAGUGGGGAAUUUUGCACAAUGGGCGGAAGCCUGAUGCAGCAACGCCGCGUGCGGGAUGACGGCCUUCGGGUUGUAAACCGCUUUCGCCUGUGACGAAGCGUGAGUGACGGUAAUGGGUAAAGAAGCACCGGCUAACUACGUG